RNAcentral lists this long non-coding RNA (1539 nucleotides) under Homo sapiens (human). Its description in RNAcentral is "non-protein coding lnc-AKAP9-3:3". Lineage: Eukaryota; Metazoa; Chordata; Mammalia; Primates; Hominidae. The record is from RNAcentral.
ACUCUGUGAAGCCGUGGUCUUCUUGCGCGGGAUAGGGCACCUGAGGAAGCGGGCUGCGCCUGUGGCACAGUGGUACGGGGCCGGAAGAUAACUUACCUGAAGAGGCGAUCAAUCCCUGAGAAUCGCGGGCGACCCGUUUUUUGUGUGCCCGGGUGCGGGGUGCCGGGACACGGCGUUGAAGGCGCUGAGCGGAGGGAUCUCAGGGCGAGCUCGAGCGGCGACGGCGCGCUCUGUGAUUGCACCGCGAGCGCCUGAGGUGAUCUCGGCCUACAUCGCGUCAGCGGGGCCUUGGGCGUGAGCACCGCCCCCUGUCCGGACGCAGGGUACUGGGGCACCUCGAACUGUGGCACCUCACCCUUCUCCGGGGCCACGUCUUGGGGACUCCGACAGCCCCAAAUAAGCCCUCGGGGACUGGGGUUGUGAAAAGCGAGGUCGUGAAGACGCCGGCCUCAUACCGAAGGGUAGGACGGUGAGGUCAGCCCCGUCCCACUCCAACUAAAAUCAACCUGACAGUCGCGGUGGCUCACGCCUGUAAUCCCUGCACUUUGGGAGGCCGAGGCGGGAGGAUCACCUGAGGUCAAGAGUUCGAGACCAGCCUCACCAACAUGAUGAAACCUCGUCUCUACUAAAAAUACAAAAUAUUAGCCGGACGUGGUGGCAGACGCCUUUAAUCCCAGCUACUCGGGAGGCUGAGGCAGGAGAAUCACUUGAACCUGGGAGGCAAAGGUUGCAGUGAGCCGAGAUUGCGUCACUGUACUCCAGCCUGGGCAACAAGAGCAAAACUCUGUCUCAAAAAAAAAAAAAAAAAAAAGAAAGAAACUGUGAUAUAUAUAAAUAUAUAUUUAUAUAUUUAUAUAUGGAAUGGAAUGCUACGUGGUCACAAAAAGGAAUGAAUGAAUGGCAUUUUCAGCAACCUGGAUGGGAUUGAAGACUAUUAUUCUAAGUGAAGUAACUCAGGAAUGGAAAACAAAACAUCAUAUGUUCUCACUCCUAAGUGAGAGCUAAGCUAUGAGGAUGCAAAGGCAUAAGAAUGACACAAUGGACUAUGGGGACUCAGGGAAAGGGUGGAAGGGGGUGAGGGAUAAAAGAUUACAAAUUGGGUUCAGUGUAUACUACUCGGCGAUGGUUGCACCAAAAUCUCACAAAUCACCACUAAAGAACUUACUCAUGUAACCAAAUACCACAUUUCUUAAAACCCUAUGGAAAUAAAAAAUUAAAAAAGAAAAAAGAACCCAACAGUCUUCUAUUAAGCCAGGUGUAAAAGAGAUUUACAAAAAUCUAAAACUAUGCCAUUCUUCUCACUAAUAUUUUAUUUUUGAAAAUAUAGCUAUAGGCCGGGUGCGGUGGCUUACUCCUGUAAUCCCACCACUUUGGGAGGCCCUGGUGGGUAGAUCACAAGUUCAGGAGUUUGAGACCAGCCUGACCAACAUGGUGAAACACCAUCUCUACUAAAAAUACAAAAAUUAGCCAGGCAUGGUGGCGCGUGCCUGUAAUCCCAGCUACUCAGGAGGCUGAGGCAGGAGAAUCGCUUGAACUCGC